This 497-nucleotide ribosomal RNA is filed under the name uncultured bacterium. Its description in RNAcentral is "partial 16S ribosomal RNA". It matches the Rfam family "Bacterial small subunit ribosomal RNA", at positions 28 to 507 of the family's 1533-position model. The record is from RNAcentral.
GAUGAACGCUGGCGGCGUGCCUAAUACAUGCAAGUCGAGCGAACGGACGAGAAGCUUGCUUUUCUGAUGUUAGCGGCGGACGGGUGAGUAACACGUGGAUAACCUACCUAUAAGACUGGGAUAACUUCGGGAAACCGGAGCUAAUACCGGAUAAUAUUUUGAACCGCAUGGUUCAAAAGUGAAAGACGGUCUUGCUGUCACUUAUAGAUGGAUUCGCGCUGCAUUAGCUAGUUGGUAAGGUAACGGCUUACCAAGGCAACGAUGCAUAGCCGACCUGAGAGGGUGAUCAGCCACACUGGAACUGAGACACGGUCCAGACUCCUACGGGAGGCAGCAGUAGGGAAUCUUCCGCAAUGGGCGAAAGCCUGACGGAGCAACGCCGCGUGAGUGAUGAAGGUCUUCGGAUCGUAAAACUCUGUUAUUAGGGAAGAACAUAUGUGUAAGUAACUGUGCACAUCUUGACGGUACCUAAUCAGAAAGCCACGGCUAACUACGUG